UUGAACGCUGGCGGUAUGCUUAACACAUGCAAGUCGAACGGAAACGAUACUAGCUUGCUAGUAGGCGUCGAGUGGCGGACGGGUGAGUAACGCGUAGGAAUCUGCCUGAUAGUGGGGGAUAGCCCGAAGAAAUUCGGAUUAAUACCGCAUAAUCUAUUCGUAGUAAAGUGGGGGACUUUCGAGCCUCACGCUAUCAGAUGAGCCUGCGUAAGAUUAGCUUGUUGGUAGGGUAAAAGCCUACCAAGGCGACGAUCUUUAGCUGGUCUGAGAGGAUGAUCAGCCACAUCGGGACUGAGACACGGCCCGAACUCCUACGGGAGGCAGCAGUGGGGAAUAUUGGACAAUGGGGGCAACCCUGAUCCAGCAAUACCGCGUGUGUGAAGAAGGCCUGAGGGUUGUAAAGCACUUUCAAUUGUGAAGAAAAGUUAGCGGUUAAUAACCGUUAGCCUUGACGUUAACUUUAGAAGAAGCACCGGCUAACUCCGUGCCAGCAGCCGCGGUAAUACGGAGGGUGCAAGCGUUAAUCGGAAUUACUGGGCGUAAAGCGUGCGUAGGUGGUUUAUUAAGUCAGAUGUGAAAGCCCCGGGCUUAACCUGGGAACUGCAUUUGAAACUGGUCAACUAGAGUAUGGUAGAGGAAAGUGGAAUUUCUGGUGUAGCGGUGAAAUGCGUAGAUAUCAGAAGGAACAUCAAUGGCGAAGGCAGCUUUCUGGACCAAUACUGACACUGAGGUACGAAAGCGUGGGUAGCAAACAGGAUUAGAUACCCUGGUAGUCCACGCCGUAAACGAUGAUAACUAGCCGUUGGGGGGAUUUACCCUUUAGUGGCGAAGCUAACGCGUUAAGUUAUCCGCCUGGGGAGUACGGCCGCAAGGUUAAAACUCAAAGGAAUUGACGGGGACCCGCACAAGCGGUGGAGCAUGUGGUUUAAUUCGAUGCAACGCGAAGAACCUUACCUGGUCUUGACAUCCUGCGAACUUUCUAGAAAUAGAUUGGUGCCUUCGGGAACGCAGUGACAGGUGCUGCAUGGCUGUCGUCAGCUCGUGUCGUGAGAUGUUGGGUUAAGUCCCGUAACGAGCGCAACCCCUAUCCUUAUUUGCCAGCACAUCAUGGUGGGAACUAUAAGGAGACUGCCGGUGAUAAACCGGAGGAAGGCGGGGACGACGUCAAGUCAUCAUGGCCCUUACGACCAGGGCUACACACGUGCUACAAUGGGAAGGACAAAGAGCCGCGAAGCCGCGAGGUGUAGCUAAUCUCAUAAACCUUUUCGUAGUCCGGAUUGGAGUCUGCAACUCGACUCCAUGAAGUCGGAAUCGCUAGUAAUCGUAGAUCAGAAUGCUACGGUGAAUACGUUCCCGGGUCUUGUACACACCGCCCGUC
RNAcentral lists this ribosomal RNA (1378 nucleotides) under uncultured bacterium. RNAcentral's name for it is "bacterial SSU rRNA". It matches the Rfam family "Bacterial small subunit ribosomal RNA", at positions 29 to 1398 of the family's 1533-position model. The record is from RNAcentral.